This 1154-nucleotide long non-coding RNA is filed under the name Numida meleagris (helmeted guineafowl). RNAcentral describes it as "lncRNA (ENSNMEG00000005339.1)". The record is from RNAcentral. Lineage: Eukaryota; Metazoa; Chordata; Aves; Galliformes; Numididae.
UAUAGAGAGCCUUUCUCUCCUACAUGCCAUUUGCUGCCUGCAGUUGGGUGUCUGUGAACAUGCCAGGGUUGCCCUGCAUUCUGUUGUCCAGAUCCUUAACAAAGGUGCUGGCAGUCUUAAUGAGUGUUAGCCCCUGAGGGAUGCUGUGGGGACUGGCUGCUGAUGGGACUUCACACCACCAGCCCUUGGAGCCUGGAGGGAUACUGGAGUUGUUAAGAAAUAAGGUCAAGAGAGAUUACUGUUUUUUAAAUUGUUCUUCACUCAUCUUUGAAGUAGUCUCAAGUCAUCAUGACAGGAAAUCAACUGAGUUCAGAGAGCAGAAAAAGUGGAGGAGAAGCAGUCAAGGAAUAACUUGAUCAGAUUUCACUAUGGGAAGUUGGAAGCAUCUGCUGGAAUCCUCUGGGGCAAAGGCUGGUGGCUCUGGAUCUGCUGCAGGAAACAUCACAACUGCUGAUGAUCAUUGUCAGAGCUAUGUUUUCCUCUACCUAGAGCUGCAGCAGCAUGGGUGCAGGAAAACAGAACCACUGUAAAGGGUUUUCUGAAAGACCCUUUUCUGCUACAUCACACAACAGCCAUCUGGGCUUGGUUCUCCAGGCAGCUAUGCUCUGUCCAAAUGAAAUCCCUUUCAUGUCUAGAUUUUUUUUGGUGUUGUUCAGGUGCACUUACUGCUUAAAAUGAAGUUAUUUCUGUAAUUUAUUUGGGUCAGAUUCUCUGUCUCCUUCUCAUGAUGAAGAACUGAAGACUGCUUUAGGUAGUAUGCAUGUUCAUUUUUGUUGGUUUUGUCAUCUUAUCCACCAGCCCUAAAUCAGCCUGUUAAUUUUAUUGCCUUCUGCUUGCUGCUGUCUAGAAGAAUCACGAAGUGCUUUUCCGAAAUGUCAGGUCUGCAGUGUAAUAGCUCUGAAAAGCCUAUUCACUGAAAAUUGGCAGCUGAGUAGCAUUGAGAAACAUAUAUAUAAAAAAAAAUCACUUACAUGGCUGAUUUAUUUCACUAUUUUUUAUCCUGUUGAGAAAUGACAGCGUAUUUAUGAAGUCAAGGUACGUAUUCGGGGUGAGAAACGGAGCAGUCUGACUGUGAAAUCCUUUACAUGAGACACUGCCCUGAGCAUAAUCUUUUCUUUCAUAUAAAUUUUGUAAUUUUGGAUCACGUUUCUUCU